This 381-nucleotide ribosomal RNA is filed under the name uncultured eukaryote. RNAcentral's name for it is "partial 18S ribosomal RNA". It matches the Rfam family "Eukaryotic small subunit ribosomal RNA", at positions 592 to 975 of the family's 1831-position model. The record is from RNAcentral.
CAAUAGCGUAUAUUAAAGUUGUUGCAGUUAAAAAGCUCGUAGUUGGAUUUCUGGUUGAAGCGACCGGUUGGGCGUUGAUUCGUCUGCACUGGAGUCGGUUUUGGCCAUCCUCUAGGAAAGUGCGUCUGGUAUUAAGUUAUCGGGCGUAUGAUCCUGGUCUUUUACUGUGAAAAAAUUAGAGUGUUUAAAGCAGGCCUUCGCCUUGAAUACAUUAGCAUGGAAUAAUAAGAUAGGACUUUGGUCUAUUUUGUUGGUUUGCAGACCGAAGUAAUGAUUAAUAGGGAUAGUUGGGGGUAUUUAUAUUCCGAUGUCAGAGGUGAAAUUCUUAGAUUUUCGGAAGAUAAACUUAUGCGAAAGCAUUUACCAAGGAUGUUUUCAUUA